AAGCUUCGUUCGAAAACAUGAUUUGUCGAUUUUGAACAAGUUGUCAUAGACAGCAAGCAUUACCAUGUAUAGUGUGAUGCGUAUCCCAAAUUGUAUGAUCUUAAGGGAUUCAUACAUAUAGCCUGAAUUUUCAAUAUAUAUGUGUAUCUGCAACUCCAAGCGUCAACAACAUUUAUUUGAUAGAAGAAAGUAGCAUCAGUAGAGAAAAUCAAAUGUAGAUGGGUCGUAACAGUUUGGUUAUCAUUCUCAUUAUCGUCUCUCUUUUCGGCCUCCACAAUUGUCAAGACGAAGAUCCCGAUCAUCCAAAGGGAAUAGAAAGAUGCUUUCAACACUUUAUGGGAGAGCCAUGGCAACUCGAGUUUUUGUGCUGUAUCGAAGAUAUUACCGUUUGCUUCCCUUUCACCGAACCAGAAAAUUGCCUCAAGCAAUGUCCGCCGCUACGAAAAGGUGAAGCACCGUCUCCUUCACCUGGUGCAACACUGCCCCCUCUAUGAAUGCUCAAUGAUUAAGCUCCCUAGCCUUUUUAUAUCAUGUACUCUCCUGACCCACAUGAGAGGUCUACUACAAUGUCAUCAAUAAGUUAUUAAUGCCAAACUCAGUUUUGCU
Non-coding RNA from Camelina sativa (false flax), 606 nucleotides. The record is from RefSeq and is a predicted model, not a curated record. NCBI's taxonomy places the organism in Eukaryota, Viridiplantae, Streptophyta, Magnoliopsida, Brassicales, Brassicaceae.